This is a long non-coding RNA of Aethalodelphis obliquidens (Pacific white-sided dolphin), 6330 nucleotides long. RefSeq lists it as uncharacterized. The transcript is spliced from 4 exons. The record is from RefSeq and is a predicted model, not a curated record. NCBI's taxonomy places the organism in Eukaryota, Metazoa, Chordata, Mammalia, Artiodactyla, Delphinidae.
CUUCCCAGACCAGGGCUCGAACUCGUGUGCCCUGCAUUAGCAGGCAGAUUCUCAACCACUGCACUACCAGGGAAGCCCAGAUCUGGAGUUUUGAGUCCCUGUUUGCCUGGUCCCAAAGCCCAGCCCCUGCUUCCCCUACCCCAUCUCAUGGGCUCUCCAGCUGCAACUAUGGUCCACCAGCUCUGCUGUUCACCGUCUCUCCAGCUCAUCCCCUGCCUCACAGCACUUCCUGAGGGAUGCUGGUCUCCUGCCCGCCUUCUAACCCUGCGCUUAGAGAGGUCCAGCCCGUUAUCUGAUUCCUGGUUAAUACCUUUCCUGAUCUCUCACAUUUUCAAAGUAGAAGUUCUUCUCAUGCUGCUGAAUGUAUAUGGAUGUAUCUACCUUGACUUCAACCAUGAGCUUCUUCCGGAAGAAAUCUCGCCUUACUCGUCCUGGGAAUCCUAGUGAUUAAACAACAGCUGGACUAAGAUGUUGUCAUAGUUUAAAAGGCAACGAAAGGAAGCACCAUGUAGUGAGAUGAGAUGCAGACCACUCAGCUGGAGGCUUAAUUUCAAGGUCAUCUCGUGCAGGGAGAAUAAAAUAUCUACCAAAAACUUAAAAUGUUCCUGCCCUUCAGGGAAAAGAGGGAGAAGACCUUGACCGUGAUCACUUGGCCGUGUGAUUGUAUUUGAACGUCCCUGAGGCUGUAUUCAUUCAGUUCUCCACACCUGGUUCCCCCAGUGCCCUCCACUGAACUCAAAUGUCUAAAGUCCACAGUGAGAAGUGCAGCAGCUGAUGACACACGUGGUCCCCCCUCACCUCACACUGGUUAGAAAUACAGCUCUCAGCUAUCACUUUAUCUACCCCUGGGAAAGCCCUACCUCUAUGUAGCUUGUGGCCAAUUCUCCUUCAGACCACCCUGGAGGUUCAGAAUUGGGCCAACGGGGCAGAGUCUGGGUACUGAGUGCUGAAAGGUGUGGCCUCCGGUGUGGCCAGCAUCAGAGCAGUCCCGAGAUAGAAAGGGGCUGCUACUAUGACGCCAGCUUGCGGAGGGGCAGAUACCAGGGAAAGCAGCCCCUGAUGCAAAGACACACGGCUCUGAGGGGCUAAGAAGGUCCUGAAGAAAGGGCAUGAGCACAAGGAGGGAGCCCCCUGGCCUGGUCCGUCCUCCCCACCACUUGCACCUGGGGCGGUGAUGUCACCGCCUUGCCCUCCAGUGCCCUCACAGGGGCAGCUGCUCUGGUGGUUUCUCCCAGACUCCGACUUGGAGGGGCAGACGCAUGGGAGGAGCCGUUUUUGUAUAAAGCUGUAACGUUGUGAGGACAGGGGGACCACAGUGAUUCAACCCUACGGGAAUCCUUUACAAAAACCUUUCUGCCUGUCCCAAUUCCCACCGUCCUUCCAUUCUUCUCCCGGGUCACAGGCCCAAGGGUGGUUUGGGUCAGAAUGUCUCCACCUUCCUCCCGUCCACCUGUCAAGCCCAGGCCAUGGAGAAGCACAGGCCUGGAUCAGAGCUGAAGCUUGCAGGCAGAAAGGCCAGACAUAAGAAGAUGCCUCUGUGGCCUCAUGGGUGAAGGCCUCAGAGAGACCCCUUUAUCCCACCCUCCUCCUCCCCCCACCCAAGGACAAGGUCAAUGGGAAGGUACAUGGGAGGUGACCGUUCUAUGAAGGAAGAAGCCAGCACUACCCAGCCCUCCGGGGACAGUCACGGGUCUCUGGGACCCUGCCCUCCUCGCCAGGCCCACAUCCUUCUGAUGGACCCUCAGGAAGAAUCAAAAAAACAGGGCACAGGGCUCUCUGGAUGGACUCUGCCCAUGCUCCGUGGCCCCAAGAGUCAAAAGUCGAAAACACUCUUCUGUACGAUAUCUGUAGAGCACAGGAGGGGAUUCCUAGUCCCAGAGUCCACCAGGCACCAACCAAAAUCCCCUCCUCUCUGCACUCCUCGCGUUUGCUUUCCUCCUUACUCCGCGUCACUGGGCAAACACUGAAGUCUUCUUCGGAGAAGGCACCAGGCUCACGGUCGUAGGUAAGACAUAAUCCAGGCCUUUCCUGGCCCCUUGUAGGGGAAGGCGGGUCCCAAGUGUGCAUUGUAAGGCGGCUGUAUUCUGAUGUGCUAUGACUAUACCUUCGGCCCAGGGACCAAGCUGACUGUUGUAGAAUCCCAGCAGACAAGGAGAGGUUUUGAAGUGAAUCUGGGAGGCUGUGCUUUGCAGACACCUACUAUUUUGGGGAAGGAAGCCGGCUCACUGUCAUAGGUAAGCUAGUCAGGGCUGGAGGGCUGGGAACCUACAGGGAGGGGCAGGGUCCAGGUGGAGCCUCCGAUAGGGGUGCCUAGGUUAAAGCGUGUUUUUAUCAGAAAAAUCUGAAUUCUCGUCUUGAUGAAUUCUUAUCUUGAUGAGAUGGACAGCCUCCACCUCCAAUAGUUUCAUAGGCUCGCUGUGCCAAGCCUGGGUCUCCCUACCGAGAGGCAAGGAGUCUCAGCUGGAAAGGGGUCUCCGUGUCCAUCUUCCGUCUCCUUGGAGGGUGCCCAUCAUGGCCACGGUAGAUGGGAGGGCUUCUGGCCUUGGAUCCGUCAGUCCUGCCGUUUCUCUCCCUCGCGAAGAAAGGAGACGGACACAGGAGAGGGGGGUGAGAAGUCUCACAGGGGGCCAAACUGGUCCUCUGACCGCAGCUUUUCGGGUUGUACAGUUGUCACCAGUUCCACCUCCGGGGGUUAAAAUUCCGCCAAGGAAGGGGACAGGAGAGCUGCAGGUGGACCGGCAGAGGGGUGGGGAAAGAGUGGGAGGCGCAGGCACAGUUUCCCUACCGGGCUUUCGUGUUCUGCGACUAAUGAAAGCCUGUAUUUUGGCAGCGGAACGAAGCUUUCUGGGCUAGGUAAGUAAAGGUCUUCCCUGGGAAUGAUGUAUUGUAAGGCUGGAGUUCUAGAAUUUCCCUUUAGAGAAGGCAGGGACUGAGAACACAGCAGAGAAAAGGCGGAGAGUGGGUGAGUGGAGAAGGUGCUAGGACCCCCAGAAGUUCUGGGGAGAAGCUCGUUUCUGGAAAGAAGGGCCCCAUACCGGCCGCUCUGGGGUUUGCCACGCCCGUGUUAUACUGUGGAGCAACCGGGGGCAGCACUUUGGAGGUGGGACUCGACUCCCUGUCCUGGGUAAGACAUAAGAGCUGGGAGACGGGGGCCACUGUCCCUUGGACCCGGAGUGUCUACCCCUCCGUCCAGCCCCGGUGGGAGAGGGUUGAGUAAACCCCGGUCCCUGUGGGGCUUCCGGGGAGCUGCGUCUGCCAUCGCUUUAGAUGAGGCUGGGUCGAUUCCUGUUUGUCCUCUAAGUCUUCGGCCCAUAAACUGCUUCCUUACUCUUCUGUCGGUGGUCCAUCCCUCCUUCUUCUGUGCGUGGAUCGGCCCCUCCUAAGUCUCUUCAUCUUUCCCCUCUUUCCCCAGAGUGUGCUUAGGCCUUUCUCCUAGUGGGAUCCCUUUGGUCCUGAGCCGUGAAUCCAGGCAGGGAAAGGUGGCCAUCUCUGCCCUCAAGGAGCUAAGACUAGCGCUCUGGCUGGAGACCUCUGGGGGGGUUUUCCUACAGCCUCCUGCAGCUGUGUUCCUAUAAUUCACCCCUCCACUUUGGGACCGGCACCAGGCUCACCGUGACAGGUAUCAGACAGGGAGGGAGGUGGAAGGAGGGGGCCAGAGCUGCCCUUUCCUUCCGGAGCAUUUCCAGCUCGCUCCGCUGUGUCGGCCGAGGGCUCAGAGGAGCUGUGCUUCUGUGCUUCGCCUCCUGGCUUUGUGUUUUCUCGUUCUCCUUCUCGUUGUUCUCCAAGACUCCCCUCCUCUCUCCCGAUUUAGCGGGUGUGCUGCUUCACUUUCCCCUUCUCAUCUGAUCUUCUCCAUUUCCCCCCCUCCUUCUAACUCUGAUCCUGCACUGGUGACCCCGUUUUGGGGAACAGCUCCGUCUUCUAUGUUAAAAUCCACCUCCAACACCUCCCUCCAGCUCAGAGCCCUGUCCUCGCCUUCCUUGAGUCCUUCUCUGUCUCCAAGAUCCAUGUGUGUCUUCCUGAGGUGGUUUAAGGACCCAGGAGGCCAUAGGGGAGCAGCUUGGUGAGACUGAGAGGGCUUGAGGGGGACUCCUGAGCCCUGAAGGCCGAGGUCCAUGUCACGGCAUCAUGUGAGCUUGCAGGGGUGGCCCUGGGGAACAUUGUGCUUGCUGGGGGUCAGAGGAGGUAGGUCUGAAUAAACUGUUACAACUGGAAACUUAUACCAUCUUAGCAACAGCCAAAGCAGAAAGAAGAGAAGCAGGUUGAGGCCCCGUGCUCUCAAACCUCAGGAUCUGUGCUGAGAUCAGCGAGUCACAGGCCCAUCGUGAAACGCUAACACACCAUCACCACCCUCUGGAGGAAGCAGGCAGGUGGGAGAAGCAGGGCGAGGGUGAGAUGGGCCUGGGCUGGAGUUAUAGACACGGCCAGAGCAGCGGGCCACAGAGGUUCUACCAGGCUGGUUGGCUGCGGCAGGCUUUGUCCUGCAGAGGGAAGCACGUGCCAGGGAGUGUCAUGGAAAUUGGAAAGUACAAAUCACUGGGAUUCAAAAUGCCUGGGUUCUGGGGAAGGAGGGGCUCACGCAAUUUGCAAAGUGACCUAAACUGUCUCAGGCCCUCUGAGAUGUAUAAAACAGAGAUGACAAUGGUAGUCUCUUGGGGUCCUGAAACUGUAAGGGACUAAAUCACGUGAAAAUCCUUUGUAAAGGGUUUACCCUCUUGUAGCCAUCCUUUUCAUUCUUAUUGUUUAUCCUCACUGUGUCACAGAGUAUGCCUUUUUCCAAACCUGUGUCUCAAUUUUGCCAUUAGAAAUAUUUCUCAAACUUCGAUAAAGUGGAGACAUCUGGGUUUGCCAUACUUCUGCUCAUUCCUAGAACAGAGCCAAACAGAGGGCACGGUACCUUCUGGCAACAAGGAGGGUGCUUGAAAGGUAGACGUGUUUUUUUCCCAUUCCUCCAUGUCUUCACGUGAGGGCCUGCCUUCCGACAAUUCCAGAGAUUCUCUCCCUUCUGUCAGGCACAUCAAAGAGCCUGGGACUUUAUCAUAUGAACCCUCUGACGAACUGGCCCUCGGACUUUGGGAUUUGUUCGUUUCCAAGUUUUUGCUGCCUUUAUGAAUAUAAAACGUGGCUGGAGCUAGGAUUCAAAAGCGGGGAGAGAGGUUUGCUGGGCACUGGAAAUAAGAAAGGGUUCAACCCAUGAACAUUUCCUUUCAUGGGAUUCCAGCCAUCCUCGACACCCUGAGCGCCCUGGUGUAGCAGUCGGUGUGGAACAUCAGAUAGGACAAUAGCCAGAGGCACGGGGGCUCCACAAAGCAGGUUGCAUAAAAAUCAAAACAAAAGGUGAGUUGGGUAGAGUAUAGAGAAAAGAAUGUCAGAUGCAACGGGAAAAGUAUCUCUUCUGGGGAAGAAUGUCUAAUUCUAAUUCAUAGGUGCUGUCACUCAAACAGAUAAGCACGUACACCCUGCAAAAAGCAGGAAAAUGAUCAUUGGAAAAAGUCAGUUUAGUUCUCAGGAUCAUGCUGCUAGUAGGAAUCCUCUGCCUCAAAAUCCAGGCUUAUUUCAACUCUACUGUAAUUGCUUCUAAGUCUGAAAAGUUAGCCAUGCACCAAAGAGGGAUUUAAACUAGGAAGAAAAUAGAUAUACUCAUUCGAUGGCUAAUCCUACAGGGCUUUUCAAACACGGCCAAGAAAAUCAGGGUAUAAUGCCACCUUAGGGACUCGUGGGAGGCAGUCAGUAGCGAGUGCCCGUUGAGGGGAGAGAGAAGGGGCAAGGAUGAGGGAGACUAACAGCAGGGAAUGCGGAUGGGGACGCCCAAACGAAUCACCCCUGCCUCUCCCUGCUCCACACUAAGCUUCCCAGGAACGUGGAGCAUCAAAACGUUAAAGAGGGAUAAUCAUAAAACUUCUCACAAAACUUGCCCUUUGACAAAGCACUUGCAGGUGUGUAAUUUGUUAAGCACUCACAACAGCGCUGUGGGGAAGAUAUUACCCCAUUUUUCAGUUGCAGAAACGAAGGCCAGGGAGGUUGCAGGUCACAGAAGUAGUAAGAGGCAGGGUCUAGCCUGGAACACUUCCCCAUCCAGCAAAAUCUCCAUCACAAAUACCCCUUCCAAUUUCACAACCACUGUAAAUCCCCAAGCCAAGCUCAUUGUCUGCAAAUGGGGGAUGACCUCAGGCAGGGCCCAGAUUUCUGUGUCCAGCUAGUUCUGAAGAGAGGUGGGAAGAGAGAAGCCAGGGAGAAGGAGGGUGGCCCCAGUCUGUGGCAGGGGAGGAGGGGAAGAGGGAGGAAUUCUUGGUAGCCCCUUCCCACUGUGCUCCUACAGUGAGCAGUACU